AUCCAGCAGGCAUUAGCUCAGUUGGUAGAGCAUGAGACUCUUAAUUUCAGGGUCAUGAUUUCGAGCCCCACGCUGGGCA
Podarcis lilfordi (Lilford's wall lizard) is the source of this 79-nucleotide non-coding RNA. The record is from the annotation of a GenBank genome assembly. Lineage: Eukaryota; Metazoa; Chordata; Lepidosauria; Squamata; Lacertidae.